This 395-nucleotide ribosomal RNA is filed under the name uncultured Chytridiomycetes. Its description in RNAcentral is "partial small subunit ribosomal RNA". It matches the Rfam family "Eukaryotic small subunit ribosomal RNA", at positions 30 to 432 of the family's 1831-position model. Lineage: Eukaryota; Fungi; Chytridiomycota; Chytridiomycetes. The record is from RNAcentral.
GCUUGUCUCAAAGAUUAAGCCAUGCAUGUCCAAGUAUAAACCUUUAUACGGUGAAACUGCGAAUGGCUCAUUAUAUCAGUUAUAAUUUAUUUGAUGAUCACUUUACUACUUGGAUAACCGUGGUAAUUCUAGAGCUAAUACAUGCAAAGGACCCAACUUCUGGAAGGGUCGUAUUUAUUAGAUAAAAACCAACGCCAGCAAUGGCCUAUGGUGAGUCAUGAUAACUCCUCGAAUCGCAUGGCCUUGCGCCGGCGAUGUUUCAUUCAAAUUUCUGCCCUAUCAAUUUGAUGGUAGGAUAGAGGCCUACCAUGGUGGUAACGGGUGACGGAGAAUUAGGGUUCGAUUCCGGAGAGGGAGCCUGAGAAACGGCUACCACAUCCAAGGAAGGCAGCAGG